This 388-nucleotide ribosomal RNA is filed under the name Salmonella enterica. RNAcentral describes it as "partial 23S ribosomal RNA". It matches the Rfam family "Bacterial large subunit ribosomal RNA", at positions 866 to 1251 of the family's 2925-position model. The record is from RNAcentral. Lineage: Bacteria; Pseudomonadati; Pseudomonadota; Gammaproteobacteria; Enterobacterales; Enterobacteriaceae.
CUAUUUAGGUAGCGCCUCGUGAAUUCAUCUCCGGGGGUAGAGCACUGUUUCGGCUAGGGGGCCAUCCCGGCUUACCAACCCGAUGCAAACUGCGAAUACCGGAGAAUGUUAUCACGGGAGACACACGGCGGGUGCUAACGUCCGUCGUGAAGAGGGAAACAACCCAGACCGCCAGCUAAGGUCCCAAAGUCAUGGUUAAGUGGGAAACGAUGUGGGAAGGCCCAGACAGCCAGGAUGUUGGCUUAGAAGCAGCCAUCAUUUAAAGAAAGCGUAAUAGCUCACUGGUCGAGUCGGCCUGCGCGGAAGAUGUAACGGGGCUAAACCAUGCACCGAAGCUGCGGCAGCGACGCUGAUGCGUUGUUGGGUAGGGGAGCGUUCUGUAAGCCUG